CAAGGGAAUUCUAUUAGGUUGGUACAAAGGUGAUUGCGGUUUUUGCCACUGAAAUGGCAAAAAUCUCUAUUACCUUUGCACCAACCUAAUAGUU
RNAcentral lists this microRNA precursor (94 nucleotides) under Chlorocebus sabaeus (green monkey). Its description in RNAcentral is "miRNA (ENSCSAG00000023109.1)". The record is from RNAcentral. Lineage: Eukaryota; Metazoa; Chordata; Mammalia; Primates; Cercopithecidae.